UACAGAGGUCCCAAGCGUUGUUCGGAAUCACUGGGCGUAAAGGGCGUGUAGGCGGUCCGCUAAGUCUGAUGUGAAAGCCCGGGGCUCACCCCGGAAGGGCAUUGGAAACUGACGGACUCGAGUCCCGAAGAGGAGGGUGGAAUUCCUGGUGUAGCGGUGAAAUGCGUAGAUAUCAGGAGGAACACCGGUGGCGAAGGCGGCCCUCUGGACGGUGACUGACGCUGAGACGCGAAAGCGUGGGGAGCAAACAGG
RNAcentral lists this ribosomal RNA (252 nucleotides) under uncultured bacterium. RNAcentral's name for it is "partial 16S ribosomal RNA". It matches the Rfam family "Bacterial small subunit ribosomal RNA", at positions 524 to 776 of the family's 1533-position model. The record is from RNAcentral.